RNAcentral lists this long non-coding RNA (796 nucleotides) under Mizuhopecten yessoensis (Yesso scallop). Its description in RNAcentral is "uncharacterized LOC110450685, transcript variant X2". The record is from RNAcentral. Lineage: Eukaryota; Metazoa; Mollusca; Bivalvia; Pectinida; Pectinidae.
GCGAGCAGACAGAGCUAACGGGUCACGAGCUGCCCUUUGCUGUGGACCGUGCCUGAUUUCAAAUAAUCUCGCCUUUAUGCAGUAAAUAGUGAACCAUGCCGAACGGCCGUGGUAAAGGAAGGAAACGGAAAGGACCGGCUCGGAGAGUUACUCCGGCCUACAGUGUCCUGUCAGAGGACCAGCCAGGGACGAGUACAGCAGGGUUGAUCCCCGCCUCAGACUCAGAUGACACUCCCCAGAUAUCACAGUCCAGCCAGGCGAGCCGACCAAGCACUGCUUUUGUAAGUUUAUCACAUAUUGAUGCUGUAGGAUAAAAAUAAUGAAAUAGAGUGCUUCCUCUGUCUGUUGUCAUCAUAUGUUGUCUGCGUCAUUGGUUUAAAUAACAUCUCCUCCCAAACUGCUGAGCAUAUUUCAGCUUAAUGUUAGUGAAAGCAUUUUUUGCUCACCUGCCCAAAGUGCAAGUGAGCUUAUGCCAUGGCGUGGCGUUUGUUGUCUGUCGUCUGUCUGUAAACUUUUCCUUAAAACGCAACUAGUCCUGAAUGAUUAAGAGUAUUUUAACUAAAUUUGGUCUGGAUUAUCCUCAGCCAAAGGGGAUACAAUUUUGUAUAAACUGAGGGUUUGGCCUGCUUAGGGACAGUGGAGUAGGGCAAAAUAGGGGAAUUGAAGAAAAUCAAUUGUCGAGAAUAUUGGGCAAGGGGAAUUCCAUUUUAUAUAAACAGAGGGUGUUUAAAAUUCUUUCGUACAAAUGGAGGGAUUCAAACCAAAUCUGGUUUAGAGCAUCCUUGGGCAAAGAAGA